CAGUCGAACGGUAGCAGGCCUUCGGGCGCUGACGAGUGGCGGACGGGUGAGUAACGCGUAGGAAUCUACCUCAAAGUGGGGGACAACUUAGGGAAACUUAAGCUAAUACCGCAUACGCCCUACGGGGGAAAGCGGGGGACCUUCGGGCCUCGCGCUAUGAGAUGAGCCUGCGUUGGAUUAGCUAGUUGGUGGGGUAAAGGCCUACCAAGGCGACGAUCCAUAGCUGGUCUGAGAGGACGAUCAGCCACACUGGGACUGAGACACGGCCCAGACUCCUACGGGAGGCAGCAGUGGGGAAUAUUGGACAAUGGGCGGAAGCCUGAUCCAGCAAUACCGCGUGUGUGAAGAAGGCCUGAGGGUUGUAAAGCACUUUCAAUUGAGAGGAAUACCUAUCCAUUAAUACUGGGUAGCUUGACAUUACCUUUAGAAGAAGCACCGGCUAACUCCGUGCCUGCAGCCGCGGUAAUACGGAGGGUGCGAGCGUUAAUCGGAAUUACUGGGCGUAAAGCGUGCGUAGGUGGCCUGUUAAGUCAGAUGUGAAAGCCCCGGGCUUAACCUGGGAACUGCAUUUGAAACUGGCAGGCUAGAGUUUAAUAGAGGGGAGUGGAAUUUCAGGUGUAGCGGUGAAAUGCGUAGAGAUCUGAAGGAACACCAGUGGCGAAGGCGACUCCCUGGAUUAAAACUGACGCUGAGGUACGAAAGCGUGGGUAGCAAACAGGAUUAGAUACCCUGGUAGUCCACGCCGUAAACGAUGUCAACUAGCCGUUGGCCCUAUUCAUAGGGUUAGUGGCGCAGCUAACGCAUUAAGUUGACCGCCUGGGGAGUACGGCCGCAAGGUUAAAACUCAAAUGAAUUGACGGGGGCCCGCACAAGCGGUGGAGCAUGUGGUUUAAUUCGAUGCAACGCGAAG
RNAcentral lists this ribosomal RNA (910 nucleotides) under uncultured bacterium. RNAcentral's name for it is "bacterial SSU rRNA". It matches the Rfam family "Bacterial small subunit ribosomal RNA", at positions 59 to 966 of the family's 1533-position model. The record is from RNAcentral.